AGAGGAAGCUUGCUUCUCUUGAGAGCGGCGGACGGGUGAGUAAUACCUAGGAAUCUGCCUGAUAGUGGGGGAUAACGUUCGGAAACGGACGCUAAUACCGCAUACGUCCUACGGGAGAAAGCAGGGGACCUUCGGGCCUUGCGCUAUAAGAUGAGCCUAGGUCGGAUUAGCUAGUUGGUGAGGUAAUGGCUCACCAAGGCUACGAUCCGUAACUGGUCUGAGAGGAUGAUCAGUCACACUGGAACUGAGACACGGUCCAGACUCCUACGGGAGGCAGCAGUGGGGAAUAUUGGACAAUGGGCGAAAGCCUGAUCCAGCCAUGCCGCGUGUGUGAAGAAGGUCUUCGGAUUGUAAAGCACUUUAAGUUGGGAGGAGGGGCAUUAACCUAAUACGUUAGUGUCUUGACGUUACCGACAGAAUAAGCACCGGCUAACUCUGUG
This 440-nucleotide ribosomal RNA is filed under the name uncultured bacterium. Its description in RNAcentral is "bacterial SSU rRNA". It matches the Rfam family "Bacterial small subunit ribosomal RNA", at positions 71 to 507 of the family's 1533-position model. The record is from RNAcentral.